UACGAAGGGGGCUAGCGUUGCUCGGAAUCACUGGGCGUAAAGGGUGCGUAGGCGGGUUGGUAAGUCCGUGGUGAAAUCCCCAAGCUUAACUUGGGAACUGCCGUGGAUACUAUCAAUCUUGAAUAUCGUGGAGGUAAGCGGAAUAUGUCAUGUAGCGGUGAAAUGCUUAGAUAUGACAUAGAACACCAAUUGCGUAGGCAGCUUACUACACGAUCAUUGACGCUGAGGCACGAAAGCGUGGGGAGCAAACAGG
This 253-nucleotide ribosomal RNA is filed under the name uncultured bacterium. Its description in RNAcentral is "partial 16S ribosomal RNA". It matches the Rfam family "Bacterial small subunit ribosomal RNA", at positions 524 to 776 of the family's 1533-position model. The record is from RNAcentral.